CCCUCGGAGGCCAAAGGAUGAUUCAUUGCUGCUUAUCGGAAGGUUCCAGAUGGUCUUCUGUUACUGUAGCUUUAAUUCAAAUCACAGAGAAAGGGUCAGCAGAGCAUAGUGUUUAAAAGCACAGACCAGCCUCUGGAGCCAGACAGCUCACUUUGGAAUCUCAGCUCUGCCGUUUGCUACUGUGUAACCUUGGGGUUGGAAUUAUACCAGCAAUGCCUCCCAGAUCUUCCUGAGAUCAACCUCUGCCCAGAUUGUGAAAGGAUGGCCAGCUUUCAGGUCUCCUGUUGCUGAGUUCUUUCUCAAGAGGAUCUGUGUGUUACCUUUUGCUAAACUGCCCAAUCCACUUGCUUGGAUCGCCAAAUUUUAUCUAUUUUUUCUUUUGUCUAUUCCCAUAUCUCUGGAGAAUGCCUGCUUAGAGCACUCUUCCCACCCCUCACCCAACCUACCAUCACCAUCUCUUUACAUUAUCCAGGACUCCAAGCACCUGUAGCUUCUGGUAGGGCAAUUGUUCCCAUCACCCAUUACCCCCUGAGCUGGUAUCGACAGACUUCUUGAACCCUGAAGGGCUUUCCUUCUGGUAUACUCAGUAGCCAUUUCUGUCAUCUGACAGAGUUUGGUCAGAUGUUAACCAAAAUAUGACAAUAGUUGGUUCUUCUGCAGACCAGGAAGCCUCACCUGUGAUUGUGAAAUAAGCUCAGAAGCUGAGCUAGAAGAGGAACAAGAAAAUUCUCCUCUGCUUGCUCUUUACUCCUAAGAUUAAAGAAAGAGUCCAAGCCUUUUGGAAAUCCCUGUUCAAAGGCAUUUCCAUCUUACUCUUCACAGAAUCAAAAAAGUAAGCUUAUUUUUGAUCUCACUAAAGUUGUUGAGAAUUCAAAAUGCUGAAAAAUUUUAAUACAUUAUAAAACUGCAUAACUAGCCAAAAAUGAAACGUGCCUAAAUGCCCAUAGAAUGGUAGUUUUAAUGUGGUAUAUAUUUACAACAGAACACCUGAUCAAUGAGAAUGAAUGAUGUGGAUGAAUUUCAAGACAAAAUACUGAGUUAAAGAAGUCACAUGCACAUAUACUGUAAGAUUACAUUUAUUUAAAGUUCAAAAAGAGGCAAAUCUAAUAUACGUUAUUAAAAGUCAAAACAGUGCUUACCUUGUGGGGAUGGGAGGCUGUGAACAGAAGGGAGCAUGGGGUGAGCUCUCGAGUUUCUGUUCAUGUUCUCUUUUUGAUCUGGGAGCUGGUUACAUGGACAUGUUCAGUUUGCAAAAAUUCACAGAACUGUACACUUGUGAUAUAUGCAGUUUUCUAUGUAUGUUAUAC
Sus scrofa (pig) is the source of this 1307-nucleotide long non-coding RNA. RefSeq lists it as uncharacterized. NCBI's taxonomy places the organism in Eukaryota, Metazoa, Chordata, Mammalia, Artiodactyla, Suidae. The record is from RefSeq and is a predicted model, not a curated record.